RNAcentral lists this ribosomal RNA (448 nucleotides) under uncultured bacterium. RNAcentral's name for it is "bacterial SSU rRNA". It matches the Rfam family "Bacterial small subunit ribosomal RNA", at positions 330 to 793 of the family's 1533-position model. The record is from RNAcentral.
GCCAGACUCCUACGGGAGGCAGCAGUGGGGGAUAUUGCACAAUGGGCGAAAGCCUGAUGCAGCGACGCCGCGUGGGGGAAGACGGUCUUCGGAUUGUAAACCUCUGUCUUUGGGGAAGAAAUCAGACGGUACCCAAAGAGGAAGCUCCGGCUAACUACGUGCCAGCAGCCGCGGUAAUACGUAGGGAGCGAGCGUUGUCCGGAAUUACUGGGUGUAAAGGGCGUGUAGCCGGGAAGGCAAGUCAGAUGUGAAAUCCGGAGGCUCAACCUCCGAAUUGCAUUUGAAACUGUUUUUCUUGAGUACUGGAGAGGCAGACAGAAUUCCUUGUGUAGCGGUGAAAUGCGUAGAUAUAAGGAGGAACACCAUUGGCGAAGGCGGUCUGCUGGACAGCAACUGACGGUGAGGCGCGAAAGCGUGGGGAGCAAACAGGAUUAGAUACCCUUGUACG